AACGAACGCUGGCGGCAUGCCUAACACAUGCAAGUCGAACGAGACCUUCGGGUAUAGUGGCGCACGGGUGCGUAACGCGUGGGAACCUGCCCUUAGGUUCGGAAUAACUCCCCGAAAGGGGUGCUAAUACCGGAUAAUGUCUUCGGACCAAAGAUUUAUCGCCUUUGGAUGGGCCCGCGUUGGAUUAGCUAGUUGGUAGGGUAAAAGCCUACCAAGGCGACGAUCCAUAGCUGGUCUGAGAGGAUGAUCAGCCACACUGGGACUGAGACACGGCCCAGACUCCUACGGGAGGCAGCAGUGGGGAAUAUUGGACAAUGGGCGAAAGCCUGAUCCAGCAAUGCCGCGUGAGUGAUGAAGGCCUUAGGGUUGUAAAGCUCUUUUACCCGGGAUGAUAAUGACAGUACCGGGAGAAUAAGCUCCGGCUAACUCCGUG
RNAcentral lists this ribosomal RNA (433 nucleotides) under uncultured bacterium. RNAcentral describes it as "partial 16S ribosomal RNA". It matches the Rfam family "Bacterial small subunit ribosomal RNA", at positions 29 to 507 of the family's 1533-position model. The record is from RNAcentral.